RNAcentral lists this ribosomal RNA (496 nucleotides) under uncultured bacterium. RNAcentral's name for it is "partial 16S ribosomal RNA". It matches the Rfam family "Bacterial small subunit ribosomal RNA", at positions 29 to 507 of the family's 1533-position model. The record is from RNAcentral.
AUGAACGCUGGCGGCGUGCCUAAUACAUGCAAGUCGAGCGAACGGACGAGAAGCUUGCUUCUCUGAUGUUAGCGGCGGACGGGUAAGUAACACGUGGAUAACCUACCUAUAAGACUGGGAUAACUUCGGGAAACCGGAGCUAAUACCGGAUAAUAUUUUGAACCGCAUGGUUCAAAAGUGAAAGACGGUCUUGCUGCCACUUAUAGAUGGAUCCGCGCUGCAUUAGCUAGUUGGUAAGGUAACGGCUUACCAAGGCAACGAUGCAUAGCCGACCUGAGAGGGUGAUCGGCCACACUGGAACUGAGACACAGUCCAGACUCCUACGGGAGGCAGCAGUAGGGAAUCUUCCGCAAAGGGCGAAAGCCUGACGGAGCAACGCCGCGUGAGUGAUGAAGGUCUUCGGAUCGUAAAACUCUGUUAUUAGGGAAGAACAUAUGUGUAAGUAACUGUGCACAUCUUGACGGUACCUAAUCAGAAAGCCACGGCUAACUACGUG